UUAGAGAUGAAAUGAGUAUGUGUGUUGGAAAAUGAAGAUACCGCGACCGAAGCCAACAAUGCCACUUUUUCCUUUCUCUUUUUUGUUGUUUUUGUCAAAAUGAAUGUUUAGAGAGAGACUUGAUUGGAGAGGUUCGGUCGUUCCUUUCUUGAUAUUGGCUAACAUGGUCCUUAUAUAGUGCAUACUAGGGAUUUCCAUUUUUAUUAAAUGUCCAACAUACCCUUAAUGAGUGAAAAUAAUUUAAAAUAGUUAUAAACAAUUUAAAUCAAAUAAAAAUACAUUAAUCUAAAUAAUAUCAAAAUUAAUUCG
Molecule: long non-coding RNA, 309 nt
Filed under: Lathyrus oleraceus (garden pea)
Lineage: Eukaryota; Viridiplantae; Streptophyta; Magnoliopsida; Fabales; Fabaceae
Description: Pisum sativum (pea) long non-coding RNA (PSAT_LNC011215)
Source: RNAcentral